GAAAUGCGAUACGUAGUGUGAAUUGCAGAAUUCCGUGAAUCAUCGAAUCUUUGAACGCACCUUGCGCUCCUUGGUAUUCCUUGGAGCAUGCCUGUUUGAGUAUCAUGAAAUCUUCAAAGUAAAUCUUUUGUUAACUCAAUUGGUUUCUACUUUGGUAUUGGAGGUCUUUGCAGCUUCACACCUGCUCCUCUUUGUUCAUUAGCUGGAUCUCAGUGUUAUGCUUGGUUCCACUCGGCGUGAUAAGUUAUCUAUCGCUGAGGACACUGUAAAAGGUGGCCAAGGUAAAUGCAGAUGAACCGCUUCUAAUAGUCCAUUGACUUGGACAAUACUUUUAUGAUCUGAUCUCAAAUCAGGUAGGACUACCCGCUGAACUUAAGC
This 378-nucleotide unclassified non-coding RNA is filed under the name plant metagenome. Its description in RNAcentral is "partial contains 5.8S ribosomal RNA, internal transcribed spacer 2, and large subunit ribosomal RNA". The stretch from base 1 to 105 matches the Rfam family "5.8S ribosomal RNA", at positions 50 to 154 of the family's 154-position model. The record is from RNAcentral.